UGGGGAAUUUUCCGCAAUGGGCGAAAGCCUGACGGAGCAAUGCCGCGUGGAGGUAGAAGGCCCACGGGUCGUCAACUUCUUUUCUCGGAGAAGAAACAAUGACGGUAUCUGAGGAAUAAGCAUCGGCUAACUCUGUGCCA
This 140-nucleotide ribosomal RNA is filed under the name uncultured bacterium. RNAcentral's name for it is "partial 16S rRNA". It matches the Rfam family "Bacterial small subunit ribosomal RNA", at positions 355 to 510 of the family's 1533-position model. The record is from RNAcentral.